GACACCUGCUCGUCAAACAUCUCAUUGCAAAAUCAUGGGCAUUAAUAUAGAGUUGGUCCCCCCUUUGCUGCUAUAACAGCCUCCACUCUUUUGGGAAGGCUUUCCACUAGAUGUUGGAUCAUUGCUGUGGGAACUUGUUUCCAUUCAGCCACAAGGGCAUUAGUGAGGUCGGGCACUGAUGUGGGGCAAUUAGGCCUGGCUCGCAGUCGGCGUUCCAAUUCAGCCCAAAGGUGUUUGAUAGGGUUGAGUGACGCAGCGGGUGACGCAGCGGUCUACGGCACUGCAUCUCAAUGCUAGAGGCGACACUACAGACCCUGUUUCGAUUCUAGGCUGUAACACAACCAGCUGUGAUUAGGAGCCCCAUAGGACGGCGCACAUUUUGCCCAAGUUCUUAACGAACUUGCCUAGUAAAAUAAAGGAUAAAUAAAUAAAAAUACAAAAUGCUGUAGUGUUAAGAUUUCCCUUCACUGGAACUAAGGGACCUAGCCCGAACCGUGAAAAAACAUCCCAGACCAUUAUUCCUCCUACACCAAACAUUACAGUUGGCACUAUGCAUUGGGGCAAGUAGCAUUCUCCUGGCAUCUGCCAAAGCCAGAUUAGUUUGUUGAACUGCCAGAUGGUGAAGUGUGAUUCAUCACUCCAGAGAAUGCGUUUCCACUGCUCCAGAGUCCAAUGACGGCGAGCUUUACACCACUCCAGCCGACACUUGGCAUGGUGAACUUAGGCUUGUAUGCAGCUGCUCAGCCAUAGAAACCCAUUUCAUGAAUCUCCCGAUGAACAGUUAUUGUGCUGACGUUGCUUCCAGAGGCAGUUUGUAACUCGGUAGUGAGUGUUGUAACCGAGGACAUGCAAUUUUUAUUCGCUACGCAUUUCAGCGGCCCUGUUCUGUGAGCUUGUGGGGCCUACCACUUCGCGGCUCAGCCAUUGUUGCUCCUAGACGUUUCCACUUCACGCAGCACUUACAGUUGACCGGGGAAGCUCCAGCAGGGCAGAAAUGUGAUGAACUGACUUGUUAGGAAGGUGGCAUCCUAUGACAGUGCCACGUUGAAAGUCACUGAGCUCUUCAAUAAGGC
Molecule: long non-coding RNA, 1073 nt
Organism: Oncorhynchus tshawytscha (Chinook salmon)
Lineage: Eukaryota; Metazoa; Chordata; Actinopteri; Salmoniformes; Salmonidae
Source: Ensembl